UCUGCUUGGUCCAAUAGAGGGCCACUGUAGGCUUCAAAGGGUGUCCCAAAGACUUAGCCAGGUCUGGCUUUAUGCACAAGCAUGUUAUACUGGAGGUUUGGAUUUAUGCAAAACAUAUCUUACCAUCCAAUCCGCUAUUCCGCUAAUGCUAAUUCACGUAACUUUGGUGGUUCCAGAAAUAGCAGUUACAGGUGACAGAAGAAUUACAUGUGCGGAAUAGCGGAUUGGAUGGUAAGAUAUGCAGAAAUAGCAGUUACAGGUGACAGAAGAAUUACAAGGUAGAAAAAUAAGCACUGCCAUGUGAGCUAAACACUGAUAUUCCACGCAAAAAUUCUUGUAAAUGUCAUGGUCCAAUGGCAUAAGUUUAAUAUUGUUAAUGAAUUCUGCAUUAAAACGAAAUUAAAACUAAACUAUAAGUUCUGAGAUUCAACUUUUCCCAUGCAUUAAAAGAUGCAGGAUCACUGUACAAUGCAUUGUUGCACUGUGCAAAUAUAGUUGCCUUUCAUCUAAAUAUUUUCAAAACCUUUCAUUCGAUUGGCUGCUUCAUAUUUACAAGAUUAAGGGGGAGCUUAUGUCUUCAAAGUCAACUUCUGGACAUAAUGUGAAUUAUCACAGAAAUUUGCAAAGAAACCAUUAACAAGCAUUCAGGGACUCCAACCAUAAACAACACUCCCUACCAUAAACGCCCUGGAUGUGCAAAUUAAAUUAAGCCACCAGCCAUUUACAACAAAUUCAAUUGGCAAUCAGGCUAGGUUUUACAUUGCGAGGACUAAGUUCGCAAAUUGUUGGUAGCUCGCCAAUUCAAACCCAUUUAAGUGUCCAUAAUGAAGUACUAGGUGAGGCCCUUAACCCCCUAGCAUGUAAUCCAGCAUUUACCAACAACAAUAUGGGUGACAGCAAAAAUGGGAUCUUCUAUGAUGGGUGGUUAAUCUACCAUCAUUUUUGCAAUAUCGCAAUUCAGGCCACGCAACACAUUAAACGGAAUUUCUCGACACUUUAGCUUCCUGCAUGAACUCCAAUCAUGUGGUCCAACCUUAUGCCAUACUCAACCGGAAGUGAUGAAUUCUAAAAAUGAGGUUUGGGUAGGAGGGGGCAAGCGUCGAACACCUGGCGCGCAAGCUUCCGGUAGGCGGCCUUGAUGUCCUUGUUGGUCGCAGAGCGCGGCACGCCCAGUGUCGCGUAGUAGUCGGCCGACGCCCAGACCAACAAUCUCCCUCCGCGGCGCCGCCUUGGAGCCCGCCCGCGAUGCCGCGGCGCAGCACAGGCAAGCGGGAGGUCGCCGCCGCCGCUCCGGACGGCGGCAGAGAAGUGGACCCGACGAGGAGGGAACGCGGCGUCAGCGGGGGCGCGGGAGGAUGGCGAGGGAUUAGAGGGCACGAACGGCAGCGUGGACAGCGCGAACGCCAUUAGCGAGCUCGCAGAGGUUUG
This 1428-nucleotide long non-coding RNA is filed under the name Setaria italica (foxtail millet). Its description in RNAcentral is "long non-coding RNA (SITA_LNC000767)". The record is from RNAcentral. Lineage: Eukaryota; Viridiplantae; Streptophyta; Magnoliopsida; Poales; Poaceae.